AGUGAACGCUGGCGGUAGGCCUAACACAUGCAAGUCGAACGGCAGCACAGUAAGAGCUUGCUCUUACGGGUGGCGAGUGGCGGACGGGUGAGGAAUACAUCGGAAUCUACUUUUUCGUGGGGGAUAACGUAGGGAAACUUACGCUAAUACCGCAUACGACCUACGGGUGAAAGCAGGGGAUCUUCGGACCUUGCGCGAUUGAAUGAGCCGAUGUCGGAUUAGCUAGUUGGGGGGGUAAAGGCCCACCAAGGCGACGAUCCGUAGCGGGCCUGAGAGGAUGAUCAGCCACACUGGAACUGAGACACGGUCCAGACUCCUACGGGAGGCAGCAGUGGGGAAUAUUGGACAAUGGGCGCAAGCCUGAUCCAGACAUACCGCGUGGGUGAAGAAGGCCUUCGGGUUGUAAAGCCCUUUUGUUGGGAAAGAAAAGCAGCAGGUUAAUACCCCGCUGUUCUGACGGUACCCAAAGAAUAAGCACCGGCUAACUUCGUG
Molecule: ribosomal RNA, 492 nt
Filed under: uncultured bacterium
Lineage: Bacteria
Description: partial 16S ribosomal RNA
Rfam family: Bacterial small subunit ribosomal RNA
Source: RNAcentral